AAUCCAUGGUGGAGGAAGUCACGUUCAUAAUCUUUAAAACGCUCCCAGGCUUCAUAAAAAGGUUUGGCCAUUCCUUGCUGGAAACUUGAGAUCUUAGUUCUCAGUAA
Eutrema salsugineum is the source of this 107-nucleotide small nucleolar RNA. It matches the Rfam family "Plant small nucleolar RNA R71". Rfam says of the family: R71 is a member of the C/D box family of snoRNAs containing the C (UGAUGA) and D (CUGA) box motifs. Multiple nearly identical copies of this snoRNA have been identified in Arabidopsis, and it is thought to function as a 2'-O-ribose methylation guide for 18S ribosomal RNA. The record is from Rfam. NCBI's taxonomy places the organism in Eukaryota, Viridiplantae, Streptophyta, Magnoliopsida, Brassicales, Brassicaceae.